This 453-nucleotide ribosomal RNA is filed under the name uncultured bacterium. Its description in RNAcentral is "partial 16S ribosomal RNA". It matches the Rfam family "Bacterial small subunit ribosomal RNA", at positions 29 to 507 of the family's 1533-position model. The record is from RNAcentral.
AUGCACGCUGACAGACUGCUUAACACAUGCAAGUCAACUUGAACUUCGGUUUGGGUGGCGGACGGGUGAGUAACGCGUAAAGAACUUGCCUCACAGCUAGGGACAACAUUUGGAAACGAAUGCUAAUACCUGAUAUUAUGAUUAUAUGGCAUCGUAUAAUUAUGAAAGCUAUAUGCGCUGUGAGAGAGCUUUGCGUCCCAUUAGCUAGUUGGAGAGGUAACAGCUCACCAAGGCGAUGAUGGGUAGCCGGCCUGAGAGGGUGAUCGGCCACAAGGGGACUGAGACACGGCCCUUACUCCUACGGGAGGCAGCAGUGGGGAAUAUUGGACAAUGGACCGAGAGUCUGAUCCAGCAAUUCUGUGUGCACGAUGAAGUUUUUCGGAAUGUAAAGUGCUUUCAGUUGGGAAGAAAAAAAUGACGGUACCAACAGAAGAAGUGACGGCUAAAUACGUG